This 592-nucleotide long non-coding RNA is filed under the name Mytilus galloprovincialis (Mediterranean mussel). Lineage: Eukaryota; Metazoa; Mollusca; Bivalvia; Mytilida; Mytilidae. The record is from RNAcentral.
AGAGUGUCAGAUAUAUUUGUAUUAGGGUUGAAUUAAGAUAUAGAAAUUUUACAAUAACAGAUGAUAUGCACCAUGAAAGUUAAACAUCCUAUGAUAAAAGUUUUGCACAUUAUUUAUGGAAACCGUAUAUGUAUACAUGUACUUCCGUCCAAUUUUUCCUUCCUACAUUACUUGCGACAGUAAGCACUGCAUUUUUAGGUGAAAUAACUUAAAAGGUAAACAUUAUUAAAUCGAUUUCCACAACUUGAAGUAAUUUAUGAUAAAAUGAUAUCACAAAAAGAACAGAACCAGAAUCAACCAACAACAUAUAAAAAAACCGAAUAAAACUUGCAAAAAUUAAUCAAAGUCAAAAACCCUCUUUGACGCCGCAUUUUUAGUGUAACGUCGUGUUGUAGGAACAUCGUGCACAACGUUUCUGAACUAUUCAAAUUUCCGAAUUUCUGAAUUCAUUAGUUCAUUGUGAGAGUGUUUGAAAUGACGUCUCAGCAAAAUAAUGAGAGUAAUAUUGUAAUCACUAUUUUGUAAAUCUUAUAAAUCGGUCAAAACUUAUUUUAUAUUAAACUAUCUUUUGCUACAAAAAUAUAUACACGGA